This 829-nucleotide ribosomal RNA is filed under the name Escherichia coli. RNAcentral's name for it is "partial 23S ribosomal RNA". It matches the Rfam family "Bacterial large subunit ribosomal RNA", at positions 479 to 1308 of the family's 2925-position model. Lineage: Bacteria; Pseudomonadati; Pseudomonadota; Gammaproteobacteria; Enterobacterales; Enterobacteriaceae. The record is from RNAcentral.
ACUGACCGAUAGUGAACCAGUACCGUGAGGGAAAGGCGAAAAGAACCCCGGCGAGGGGAGUGAAAAAGAACCUGAAACCGUGUACGUACAAGCAGUGGGAGCACGCUUCGGCGUGUGACUGCGUACCUUUUGUAUAAUGGGUCAGCGACUUAUAUUCUGUAGCAAGGUUAACCGAAUAGGGGAGCCGAAGGGAAACCGAGUCUUAACUGGGCGUUAAGUUGCAGGGUAUAGACCCGAAACCCGGUGAUCUAGCCAUGGGCAGGUUGAAGGUUGGGUAACACUAACUGGAGGACCGAACCGACUAAUGUUGAAAAAUUAGCGGAUGACUUGUGGCUGGGGGUGAAAGGCCAAUCAAACCGGGAGAUAGCUGGUUCUCCCCGAAAGCUAUUUAGGUAGCGCCUCGUGAAUUCAUCUCCGGGGGUAGAGCACUGUUUCGGCAAGGGGGUCAUCCCGACUUACCAACCCGAUGCAAACUGCGAAUACCGGAGAAUGUUAUCACGGGAGACACACGGCGGGUGCUAACGUCCGUCGUGAAGAGGGAAACAACCCAGACCGCCAGCUAAGGUCCCAAAGUCAUGGUUAAGUGGGAAACGAUGUGGGAAGGCCCAGACAGCCAGGAUGUUGGCUUAGAAGCAGCCAUCAUUUAAAGAAAGCGUAAUAGCUCACUGGUCGAGUCGGCCUGCGCGGAAGAUGUAACGGGGCUAAACCAUGCACCGAAGCUGCGGCAGCGACACUAUGUGUUGUUGGGUAGGGGAGCGUUCUGUAAGCCUGUGAAGGUGUACUGUGAGGUAUGCUGGAGGUAUCAGAAGUGCGAAUGCUGACAUAAGUA